This 575-nucleotide ribosomal RNA is filed under the name Glossanodon semifasciatus (deepsea smelt). RNAcentral's name for it is "partial 16S ribosomal RNA". It matches the Rfam family "Bacterial large subunit ribosomal RNA", at positions 1817 to 2597 of the family's 2925-position model. Lineage: Eukaryota; Metazoa; Chordata; Actinopteri; Argentiniformes; Argentinidae. The record is from RNAcentral.
CGCCUCUUGCAAUCCAAGUAUAAGAGGUCCCGCCUGCCCUGUGACCCUGUGUUUAACGGCCGCGGUAUUCUGACCGUGCGAAGGUAGCGCAAUCACUUGUCUUUUAAAUGAAGACCUGUAUGAAUGGCACGACGAGGGCUUAGCUGUCUCCUUCUCCCAGUCAAUGAAAUUGAUCUCCCCGUGCAGAAGCGGGGAUUAACCCAUAAGACGAGAAGACCCUAUGGAGCUUUAGACAAAAGGCAGACCACGUUUAACCCACCUCUUCUAUAGGACUAAACACAGUGCCCCCUGACCUUAAUGUCUUUGGUUGGGGCGACCGCGGAGGAAAACUAAGCCUCCAUGUGGACCGGGAGAACCCACUCCUAAAGUCAAGAGCCACAGCUCUAAGCAACAGAACUUCUGACCAAAAAUGAUCCGGUAACACCGAUCAACGAACCAAGUUACCCUAGGGAUAACAGCGCAAUCCCCUCCCAGAGUCCCUAUCGACAAGGGGGUUUACGACCUCGAUGUUGGAUCAGGACAUCCUAAUGGUGCAACCGCUAUUAAGGGUUCGUUUGUUCAACGAUUAAAGUCCU